CCUACGGGGGGCUGCAGUGGGGAAUAUUGGACAAUGGGGGGAACCCUGAUCCAGCCAUGCCGCGUGUGUGAAGAAGGCCCUCGGGUUGUAAAGCACUUUCAGUGAGGAAGAACGCCUGGUGGUUAAUACCCAUCAGGAAAGACAUCACUCACAGAAGAAGCACCGGCUAACUCCGUGCCAGCAGCCGCGGUAAUACGGAGGGUGCGAGCGUUAAUCGGAAUUACUGGGCGUAAAGCGCGCGUAGGUGGCUUGAUAAGCCGGUUGUGAAAGCCCCGGGCUCAACCUGGGAACGGCAUCCGGAACUGGCAAGCUAGAGUGCAGGAGAGGAAGGUAGAAUUCCCGGUGUAGCGGUGAAAUGCGUAGAGAUCUGGAGGAAUACCAGUGGCGAAGGCGGCCUUCUGGACUGACACUGACACUGAGGUGCGAAAGCGUGGGUAGCAAACAGGAUUAGAUACCCGGGAAGUC
RNAcentral lists this ribosomal RNA (465 nucleotides) under Vreelandella stevensii. RNAcentral's name for it is "partial 16S ribosomal RNA". It matches the Rfam family "Bacterial small subunit ribosomal RNA", at positions 338 to 795 of the family's 1533-position model. The record is from RNAcentral. Lineage: Bacteria; Pseudomonadati; Pseudomonadota; Gammaproteobacteria; Oceanospirillales; Halomonadaceae.